AAAAUAUUUAAUAUUUAUGUUUUCCAUUUCAGAAUUUUUAAACUCCACUGUAUGCUAUAAUAGAUAUCUAACAAAGCGAGAAGACUGCGUGAGCAAGUAUUCAAAAAGUAAAGAAACUGAUGCAAAGACUCUUUGUUGCUCGAAUCUGAACACUCUGAAAUGUCUCAGAAAAGAAAUGAAUGUGUGCCCUAAAUAUUCCACAGAUUUCGAGAACAAUGUGAUCGAGACAUACCGAAGCCCUCACAACGUCAUCUGCGCACCUUAUACCAGCCUCUGCAAUAGCGCAUCUACACAUCUAGUGUCUGCACUUGUUGUAUUGCUCGCUAUCAAAUUAGCCUUUGUGAAUUCAAUUCUAUAACAGAAAGAUUAUGCAUUUUUCAUAACUGUCUGUUCUCAAUAGAAUAGCUUUUGUUCCUGUGAAACAGCUGGAGGCAUUUCUGCAGUGAUAUUCAAGUGCUGACAGUGUCAAAAAUCUGAUGUCUGGAAAAAGUACUGUAAUGAUACUUAGAUGUUGAUGGUGCAAAAUCUCAGAAUGAAUAUAAAUUAUAAAACAAGUUUGUAUAUUGGAUAUUAAGCUAAUGAUACAAAUUAUAAAAUCAAUUUGUGUAUUUGGUAUUAAAAUCCAUAAUAAAAUUUAUUUAGUUUGAUGACUCAUUUAGACGAGUGGUGGCGAACCUAUGAUCCGCGAGUCAAACCCAUGAAGGCUUUUUAAAUGACCCACAGGUUGAUAUUUAUAAAUUUAUUUUUCAUCAUGAAAAACUGGACAGACAAUUGUAAAUAUUAAAAAAUUAAAGUAUAAAUAUCUAAUGUUGAAUUGAUAAAAAAAUAUUUCUAAGUGGACAUUGGCCAACUGAUUUUCUAUCAUUGUUCAAUCAACACUCAAGCCGCACAUCUUGCGUCUCCUCCGAUGAUUCAUUACACUUUUAAAUGUACAGGGGCCUGAAAGUUGUCUGAUACGACGCACCUAAUGCUCGUAUGAAGGAAAUGCUACAAAUGUAUAUAUUAUAACGAUAAUGGUAGAAAGAUUUGAGAAGAUUUAAUUAUUUUCUGAUUUCUUAUUCUUGUAUAAACUCUGUCUAAACUAUUCCAGUAAACUUUUCUCCCAAAUUAAAACUGUAAUAUUUUAGAGAAUGUUUCAUUGGAGUGGCUUUUUCUUUAUUAGAAACCAUGAUUUUCCUUAGCCGAAAAUGAAGUAAAUAUACUGAUUUUAAAUCGAGGACUCUGUUUUCAGUAUUAUACUCGUCUGAUAAAUUUUUAAUGACGUUGAUUUUCAUUUUAAUUCUGUUAGCAGCUUUAAACCUUUGCGAUGGAAUGAAAAUCUUUACAUGUCGUUUAAAACCUUUGCUCAAAGUUAGAAACGUGUAACAACAUUAUACAUAGAACAUACUAUGAUUCCAUUCCCACUCGAAUCCAAGCUGUAUUGCAUGCCAAAGGCUGUAUUAGUAAAGCAUUCCGUAUAAAUCUAGGAUAUUUCCGUUAUUUUGAUAACCAUCUGUACAUGCAACUAUGUUUAUUAAUGAAGAAUAUUUCAUAAUGAAAGCAAAAACAGAAAGGGCCAACUGUCAAGAUUUCUGUUAACAAAUUUUCAGUGUUUCCAAAUAUUACAGUUUUAAUUUGGGAGAAAAGUUUACUGGAAUAUUCGUACCUUUUUUAUCCCCCCUUUCAAGUAGCGCCAUUGACUUAGUCCCUUUCAAGUAGCUCCACUGACUUAGUACCAAACGUAGAUUCACUAGUAUAAUUCAGUGAAUUUAUGUCUGGUACAUAUUUAUAUAAAAUAUCUCUAAAUGAACUCCUGAUGUGGUGUUCUUGGAGAAUUAGGAGCUGCUUGUCCUAGACAGUUAUGGACUCCAGGCAAUACCUGAAUAGUCUGUGUAAGCCGGGUGUCUGGAGGCGGUUCCAUCUGUCACCUGACUUAGUGAUCCAAGCACUAGUAUUUAAAAAAAUAUGAAUAAAAUUUGACCCACUUCUUAAAAAGGUUCGCCAUCGCUGAUUUAGACUGACGACUGAUACAGUUGGUAGAUGUUAUAUUCAUUCACGAGAAUGUAAAGAUUUAAAAUGAAAUUAAUAAAAAUUUUAAUAAUGAAAAAA
This 2088-nucleotide long non-coding RNA is filed under the name Stegodyphus dumicola. RNAcentral's name for it is "uncharacterized LOC118186549". Lineage: Eukaryota; Metazoa; Arthropoda; Arachnida; Araneae; Eresidae. The record is from RNAcentral.